GACGAACGCUGGCGGCGUGCUUAACACAUGCAAGUCGAACGGAAAGGCCCUGCUUUUGUGGGGUGCUCGAGUGGCGAACGGGUGAGUAACACGUGAGUAACCUGCCCUUGACUUUGGGAUAACUUCAGGAAACUGGGGCUAAUACCGGAUAGGAGCUCCUGCUGCAUGGUGGGGGUUGGAAAGUUUCGGCGGUUGGGGCUGGACUCGCGGCUUAUCAGCUUGUUGGUGGGGUAGUGGCUUACCAAGGCUUUGACGGGUAGCCGGCCUGAGAGGGUGACCGGCCACAUUGGGACUGAGAUGCGGCCCAGACUCCUACGGGAGGGAGCAGUGGGGAAUAUUGCACAAUGGGCGGAAGCCUGAUGCAGCAACGCCGCGUGCGGGAUGACGGCCUUCGGGUUGUAAACCGCUUUCGCCUGUGACGAAGCGUGAGUGACGGUAAUGGGUAAAGAAGCACCGGCUAACUACGUG
RNAcentral lists this ribosomal RNA (468 nucleotides) under uncultured bacterium. Its description in RNAcentral is "partial 16S ribosomal RNA". It matches the Rfam family "Bacterial small subunit ribosomal RNA", at positions 28 to 507 of the family's 1533-position model. The record is from RNAcentral.